Molecule: long non-coding RNA, 166 nt
Organism: Ctenocephalides felis (cat flea)
Lineage: Eukaryota; Metazoa; Arthropoda; Insecta; Siphonaptera; Pulicidae
Exons: 3
Source: RefSeq, a predicted model, not a curated record
GUCAUUGCUAGAGUUCAUUUUCAUCGUGGCGAUUGCUGGAAGAAGACAACGAGACGUCGUCGAACACGGACGAGCGGGCCUGACCCUUCGCUGCCUGUAGAGAACAUGCGUCACCUGGUGCGGAUAAAAUCAUAUGGAGGCCACAAGAUAUUAUAUCAAGCAAAUG